RNAcentral lists this non-coding RNA (30 nucleotides) under Rattus norvegicus (Norway rat). The record is from RNAcentral. Lineage: Eukaryota; Metazoa; Chordata; Mammalia; Rodentia; Muridae.
UCUUGCAACAAGAGGUAGCCAUUUCUGUCU